This 643-nucleotide ribosomal RNA is filed under the name Parmelia saxatilis. RNAcentral describes it as "SSU rRNA". It matches the Rfam family "Bacterial small subunit ribosomal RNA", at positions 1 to 929 of the family's 1533-position model. Lineage: Eukaryota; Fungi; Ascomycota; Lecanoromycetes; Lecanorales; Parmeliaceae. The record is from RNAcentral.
GAGGAAUGUAUAGCAAUAGCUACUUGCAUCAUCNUUUUCUCAUUUUAUUCUUCUCGUUUUCUUCUUCUUAAGAAGAAAAUGAGAAGAAUAAAAAGAGAAAAGUAAAGAUGAUGCAAGAUCGACUAUGUCGAAUAAAAUUCUAGGUAGAAUUAUGAUAAUGACAUUGUCUGCCUAUGUGUCUUGACCAAAUUACGUGCCAGCAGUCGCGGUAAUACGUAGAAGACUAGUGUUAUUCAUGUUUAAUCGGUUUAAAGGGUACCUAGACGGUAAAUCAAGCUUUCAAAGAAAAAGAAGACAAAAUUGAUAGUAUAGUGAUAAUUAAAGGACUAAUUUACUAGAGUUACUUAUGAGGGGGUAUUAAAGUACUGCUGGUGUAGAGAUGAAAUUCUGUCAUACCUCUUUUCAAAAGAAAAAUGAUGGCACAGGUAUAGGCGAAGGCAUCCCCUUAUGUGAUAACUGACGUUGAGGGACGAAGGCUUUGUGUAGCGAACAGGAUUAGAUACCCCAGUAGUCUAAGCAGAAAAUGAUGAAUGUCAUAGAUUAGAUAUAUAAGUUUAUUCUAUAAAUGAAAGUGUAAGCAUUCCACCUCAUGAGUAAUUUGGCAACAUUGGAACUGAAAUCAUUAGACCGUUUCUGAAACCAG